GAGAAGUAAUUCACCUUUUGUUCUAGCGGCGGACGGGUGAGUAACGCGUGAGCAACCUGUCCUUGUCUGGGGGAUAAGGAGCCGAAAGGCUCUCUAAUACCGCAUGAGACCACGGGAUCACAUGGUUCUGAGGUCAAAGGAUUUCGGUCCGGACAGGGGUGGGCUCGCGUCUGAUUAGCUAGUUGGUGGGGUAAGGGCUCACCAGGGCAACGAUCAGUAGCCGACCUGAGAGGUGAUUGGUCACAUGGACUUAGACACGUUCCAACUCCUACGGGAGGCAGCAGUGGGGAAUAUUGGGCAUUGGCGAAAGCUGACCCAGCCACGCGCGGAGGAGGAAGGCUUUCGGUCGUAACUCUAUCCCAGAUGAAGAUAAUGACGGUAAUCUGAGGAAGCCCGGGCUAACUACGUGCAGCAGCCGCGGUAAUACGUAGGGGGCAAGCGUGUCCGGAAUGAUGGGGCGUAAAGGGCGCGUAGGCGGCCUUUUAAGUCCGAUGUGAAAGUCCUGCUUUUAAGGUGGGAAUUGCAUUGGAAACUGGAAGGCUUGAGUGCAGGAGAGGUAAGUGGAAUUCCCGGUGUAGCGGUGAAAUGCGUAGAGAUCGGGAGGAACACCAGUGGCGAAGGCGACUUACUGGACUGUAACUGACGCUGAGGCGCGAAAGUGUGGGGAGCAAACAGGAUUAGAUACCCUGGUAGUCCACACGGUAAACGAUGAGUGCUAGGUGUAGGAGGUAUCGACCCCUUCUGUGCCGGAGUCAACACAAUAAGCACUCCGCCUGGGGAGUACGGCCGCAAGGUUGAAACUCAAGGAAUUGACGGGGGCCCGCACAAGCAGCGGAGCAUGUUGUUUAAUUCGAAGCAACGCGAAGAACCUUACCAGGUCUUGACAUCCAGUAAAACUGUAGAGAUACAGUGUGACUUCGGUCAUACUGAGACAGUGGUGCAUGGUUGUCGUCAGCUCGUGUCGUGAGAUGUGGGUUAGUCCCGCACGAGCGCAACCCUUGUGAUAGUUACUAACGCGUAGAGCGAGGACUCUAAUAAGACUGCCGGGACACUCGAGAAGGUGGGGACGACGUCAAUCAUCAUGCCCCUUAUGACCUGGCUACAAACGUGCUACAAUGCAUUACGAGAGCUACGACUCGUAAGGUUAAGCGAAUCUCAUAACAGUGGUCCCAGUUCGGAUUGUGGGCUGCAACCCGCCCACAUGAAGUCGGAGUUGCUAGUAAUCGCGAAUCAGCAUGUCGCGGUGAAUACGUUCCCGGGCCUUGUACACACCGCCCGUCACACCAUGGGAGUUGAUAGCGCCCGAAGUCGGUGAGGCAACCGUAAGGAGUCAGCCGCCGAAGGUGAGAUCAAUGACUGGGGGAAGUCGUAACAAGGUAACC
RNAcentral lists this ribosomal RNA (1382 nucleotides) under uncultured microorganism. Its description in RNAcentral is "16S ribosomal RNA". It matches the Rfam family "Bacterial small subunit ribosomal RNA". The record is from RNAcentral.